This 498-nucleotide ribosomal RNA is filed under the name uncultured bacterium. RNAcentral's name for it is "bacterial SSU rRNA". It matches the Rfam family "Bacterial small subunit ribosomal RNA", at positions 66 to 543 of the family's 1533-position model. The record is from RNAcentral.
ACGCGAAAGCUCCCUUCGGGGAGCAAGUAGAGUGGCGCACGGGUGAGUAACACGUAGGUAAUCUACCUUUGGAUGGGGAAUAACAACCGGAAACGGUUGCUAAUACCGCAUAAUGCAGCGGCACCUAAUGGUGACAGUUGUUAAAGCGGGGGAUCGAAAGACCUCGCGUCUGAAGAGGAGCCUGCGGCAGAUUAGCUAGUUGGUAAGGUAACGGCUUACCAAGGCGAUGAUCUGUAGCCGGCCUGAGAGGGCGGUCGGCCACACUGACACUGACAUACGGGUCAGACUCCUACGGGAGGCAGCAGUCGGGAAUUUUGGGCAAUGGGCGAAGGCCUGACCCAGCAACGCCGCGUGAAGGAUGAAAUCCCUCGGGAUGUAAACUUCGCAAGAACGGGAAGAAUAAGUAAGGGUUAAUAUCCCUUACGAUGACGGUACUGUUUGUAAGCUCCGGCUAACUCCGUGCCAGCAGCCGCGGUAAUACGGGGGGAGCAAGCGUUG